UAGGAACUCUGGAGGCUCUUGAGAGAGGCCCUUUUGAAACAAUCUCUGGCUGGAAGACUCUUUGAGGAAGGACGCUGGCCUGGUGUCACUAAAAUCCUUGUUUAGUCAGACCUUGUGGUGUUGGGGAUCAACGAAGCCUCCUUGAAUAUGUGUCAUGAAUUCUGGGACCCAAUCUCCUAACCCAUGCUUAGACUGGAAGGCUGGAUCACUAGAGGAUGGCUGGAUAUUUCUCCCCACAGGAUUCUAAAGUCUUAUUCCAGUGCCUUAAAGAAGUUUAAUAGCAAGGAAGACAGUAUGAUGUAUUGGAAAGUAUGCUGCAUCAUGACAGGCAACCUGAGUUCAAAUACCACUUUGGAUACUUAUCAGAUGAGGAAAAUGAGUCCCAUUGAAGUUGAACAACUUGUUCCAGGUCAUAAUGGAGUGCUCCCAGGAGGGAUGGUCAUGGAACCAAUCUGAUCAGAGGAUCUUUCCAUCUUAGAAAAAUGAAGCUAAUGGAUUGAACUCCCUUCCCAGCUUCCUGUGAAAAAGAAAACCAGAAUCGACAUUUGGCAAGUAAUUUGAUGUCUUGGGAAUAGUUUGGGGGCAUUU
Molecule: long non-coding RNA, 588 nt
Filed under: Monodelphis domestica (gray short-tailed opossum)
Lineage: Eukaryota; Metazoa; Chordata; Mammalia; Didelphimorphia; Didelphidae
Description: lncRNA (ENSMODG00000031454.2)
Source: RNAcentral